AAAUACAUAAGAGACAUCCAAGUUUCCCUCACCCCUGUCAUAAUUAAUAUCUCUGCUCCUAAAAUCACCCCCCAAAAACUAAGAUCUUAUCCAUUAGUCCUUCAUUACCAAUGAUCACUAGAUCAUUCUUACCUUCUCUGUAAGAAAAUAUCUUUAACUGUUUUAUAUUUUCUUGAAAGGGACAAACAAUAUAAUGAGCAGAUGAGCGUCCCUG
This 214-nucleotide long non-coding RNA is filed under the name Gallus gallus (chicken). Lineage: Eukaryota; Metazoa; Chordata; Aves; Galliformes; Phasianidae. The record is from RNAcentral.